UCAAAGAUAAUUCCUGAGCUCCUCUUGCCA
RNAcentral lists this non-coding RNA (30 nucleotides) under Mus musculus (house mouse). Lineage: Eukaryota; Metazoa; Chordata; Mammalia; Rodentia; Muridae. The record is from RNAcentral.